This 641-nucleotide ribosomal RNA is filed under the name Micromonospora sp. I12A-02659. RNAcentral's name for it is "bacterial SSU rRNA". It matches the Rfam family "Bacterial small subunit ribosomal RNA", at positions 97 to 752 of the family's 1533-position model. The record is from RNAcentral. Lineage: Bacteria; Bacillati; Actinomycetota; Actinomycetes; Micromonosporales; Micromonosporaceae.
GGCGAACGGGUGAGUAACACGUGAGUAACCUGCCCUGGACUUUGGGAUAACCCUCGGAAACGGGGGCUAAUACCGGAUAUGACAGCCAACUGCAUGGUUCGGUUGUGGAAAGUUUUUCGGUCUGGGAUGGGCUCGCGGCCUAUCAGCUUGUUGGUGGGGUGAUGGCCUACCAAGGCGACGACGGGUAGCCGGCCUGAGAGGGCGACCGGCCACACUGGGACUGAGACACGGCCCAGACUCCUACGGGAGGCAGCAGUGGGGAAUAUUGCACAAUGGGCGGAAGCCUGAUGCAGCGACGCCGCGUGAGGGAUGACGGCCUUCGGGUUGUAAACCUCUUUCAGCAGGGACGAAGCGCAAGUGACGGUACCUGCAGAAGAAGCGCCGGCCAACUACGUGCCAGCAGCCGCGGUAAGACGUAGGGCGCGAGCGUUGUCCGGAUUUAUUGGGCGUAAAGAGCUCGUAGGCGGCUUGUCGCGUCGACUGUGAAAACCCGCGGCUCAACCGCGGGCCUGCAGCCGAUACGGGCAGGCUAGAGUUCGGUAGGGGAGACUGGAAUUCCUGGUGUAGCGGUGAAAUGCGCAGAUAUCAGGAGGAACACCGGUGGCGAAGGCGGGUCUCUGGGCCGAUACUGACGCUGAGGA